GGUCAGGGAUGGAACCUGUGUCCUCAUGAAUACUAGGCAGAUUUCCACUGCGCCACAACGGGGGCUCCCUGUUUCCCCUUUUAGUCCCGGAAGAAAUACAUCCCUUUUGAGCUUUCCAUUGGGACAACAAACUCGAAAUGUUCCAUUCGUAUGAAAUUUUAAGUUCUUUUGGUUAAAUAUUGGAGGUAAGGCCGCUCAUCUUCUGAUGAAAGGUAACCCUGGCUGAUUUCAAAGCGGGCUUAUUGGCUCAACCUAUGGGGAUUUGAACCGGGCAAGACAGGACCAGGUGAUCAUAAUUUGCCUACAUUUGUGCGAAAUAGGAUAGCCUCGCCCACAUUCUACUUUCUGAGCUGGUAGUUAUCAAGUGUUGGCCAAAGAUGCUCAUUCAGCGCAUCUGGGGUGGAGCCAUAUUUUCAAUCAGCAUCUCGAGAUAAUUCCAACACAGGUGGUUUAAAUCCCACUUUAAGAAACCUUGGGACGCUAGACGUGGAGAGAGUUUCCAUCGCGGAGAUUUGGCACCUGGGGGCCGUGGGUAAGGUGCUCUUAAACCAGGCCAGACGCCUUCGGGAAGAACUCAACAGGAGGAGCGGGGUCGCGGGACCGCAGGCUGAGCGAGCACAUGGGCCUCAGCUCAUGCGGCCAGACGUCCUCAGAGGAUCUGUGACACAGUCCUGACAAGAGCUGGGGUUUCAGAGCCAGGCUGCCUGGGCUCAGGUCCACCUCGGCCGCUUCUCACUGUAAAUCCUCAGAUUGGCGAUAGAAACAGUUUGCCUCUACUUGUAAAGCAGGAGUAACAGCAGUCCCUUCUUCUUAGAGUUCUUAGGAGGACAAAGUAACACAGUGAUUUGAAGGCCCACAGCGUAGCAGGUGCCAACUGCACGGAACUUAUCUUCUGGAGGAGGAUAGGAAUUGACGUGCAGGGCGUUCAAAACUGGACCCUCCAUUCCGUUUUUAAUUCCCGUGGCUGUGGGCUCCAAGCUUCCUGCACAGUCCGCUGGGAUCUUUGCUGUUGCUGGGCGGAACAUCGGGCUUGGGAAAGUGGCUCUGUCUACCUUUUGCAAAAGAACAAUGGUUUUCACUUGAAUUUAAUUAAGGCCCAGUGCUUCUUUCCAUCCUUACCGUGGUGUCCCAGCAUCUCUCCUCUGAUGAUGUUCUCCUGGAGAAGUGUCUGUAAAACUCAUUCGCUAAGCACAGCAAUCAGACAGCGGGGUAGGGUAGGAUAAUUCAGAGACCCACUUAACCAUCUUUCACUGGAGGAAGCUGUCAGAAUUUCAGACCUGGCUUAUUUUUUUGUUGUAGGGAUUUUUUUUUUUCUUUUGUCUUAUAACUCCCUUACAGAUCCGUCUGUGGGGGAAAAAAAGCAAUUGGUUAUUAGAAAAAUGUGUAUUUCCCCAUUAUAAUACACUGCGCCACAUCAGAGCACACUGAAGAGUCUGUAGUACGUUCUGAAAGUGCCAAACGUAAUUUGUAUGCAAAUAUCUCAUGCAAAGGAUUACUUUUAUCUUUUUCAAUUGCAGGCAGAAAAACACACCAAGUGAAUCUGAGACAAACAUAGGCUAGAUCCUGCUGUGAUUAAAAAACCACCCUAAUGCAAAGCUGCCUGUAGAGAAGAAGAGGAAAUUUCUCUUGUAUUAACUUAUUCAGAUUCUGUGUAAGACGUAGCAGUGCCGCUUUCCUCCAGGACACAGAGCUUCCCUCUUCUAUCAAAUGUGUCUAAUCGCAGCCUGUUUGCUCCCUGUCUGGUCCCAAAGAGGCACCAGAGAGAAACUGUGUGCCAACGUAUUCCAUGUGGGGCAGAGAUAAUCCCAUGGAAGCCUUGCUGGCGUGUACCAACCUAACACAAUAAUUGCCAAAUCGCCGCUCCCCCAUCCUGUGAGAGGCCACAGCGUCGGGUAUAUUCUCAGGGGGCCUUUUCUUAUCCGGCCUGUGAUCAGAUGAUGCCUAGCCUGUGCCUAGCCAUGCAGGGGGCACUUGAUUUAAGAGAUGGAAGCUGUAAACAUACCCAGCACAUUAUUCAACUCUGUAUACAAAUAAUUCAGGGAAGCUAAGACGGCCCAAAGCCCCCAAAUCCACUCCCCGUGGUGUCUUCCGUUUCAUCUCUUCUCAAUGAACAUUUGCUUAAAGCUGAACUUCUCCAGGGGAGCAGGGAAGAAUAAUUUACUGAGUAAUCAUAUUCUCCCAGUCCAAGAAAAAAAAAAAAAAAAAAA
Molecule: non-coding RNA, 2207 nt
Organism: Sus scrofa (pig)
Lineage: Eukaryota; Metazoa; Chordata; Mammalia; Artiodactyla; Suidae
Source: RefSeq, a predicted model, not a curated record